UACGUAGGGCGCAAGCGUUGUCCGGAAUCAUUGGGCGUAAAGAGCUCGUAGGCGGCCUGUUGCGUCCGCUGUGAAAUCCCCGGGGGCUUAACCCCGGGCGUGCAGUGGAUACGGGCUGGCUGGAGGCAGGCAGGGGAGAACGGAAUUCCCGGUGUAGCGGUGAAAUGCGCAGAUAUCGGGAGGAACACCGGUGGCGAAGGCGGUCUCUGGGCCUGUACUGACGCUGAGGAGCGAAAGCGUGGGGAGCGAACGG
RNAcentral lists this ribosomal RNA (253 nucleotides) under uncultured bacterium. Its description in RNAcentral is "partial 16S ribosomal RNA". It matches the Rfam family "Bacterial small subunit ribosomal RNA", at positions 524 to 775 of the family's 1533-position model. The record is from RNAcentral.